GCACAGCACUCGUCUGCAAGGACACAGGGGGCUGUCAGAGAGGUCACCCCACCACCACACCCCACAGAAAUCCCCCUCUGGAGCGGGGAGUGGAGCCCUGGCAUGGGUGGUUCUCCCAUCUUUUCCCUUCCGCCUUUUGUGGCUUCGAUUCAUCACUCGGUCCCGAGCCCGAGGUUCAGCCUUGCCCUGCUCCCAGGGCUCACUGGCACUGGGGCUGCAGUGACAAGUGUCCUAAACCAGUGCCAUUAGGUGUGUGGGAUGUGUCAGUGCCUCUGCUGAGCGCUGGGAUGGGUCCAUGGCAGCCUUGGCAGGCGUUUUGGGGAUCCCACUGCUGCUCUCACUGCAGCUCUGCUGACAUGGCAGGCUGCUCCCACCCCCAGCAGCCUAAAAACAGGGAAAAGCAUUAAUUCAUGGCAAAACAGCUCUGCCUUGGGUACAGGUGUUCAAUCACUGCUCUUUCUGUCCCCAUUGCAGGUGACAGCGGGUGGCACUGGCAGCAGGGUGGCCUGUGCCAGCAGGGACACGUGCCAGCCCAGGCAGGGGCAUGGCCAGGGCAGAGAGGGGACCUUCCUCCUGCAGCACCCAGCUGGUGACAGCGCUCAAACAGCUGAGGACACCUCAGGCCCAGCCACGUCAGCUGCUGUCCCUUGCCAGCACACUGCAGGGACUGCUGCUGGCUCUGGGGAGCCACCCUGCAGUGACACCCCUCAGCUCCCAGGGCAGCUCUCACUCCCACCUCCCUGGAAAGCCUGGCUUUUAUAACCUGUGUGGGAGCUGCUCUGAGGAGGGCAGGCCCCACUCCCACCCUUGUCCAGCCCUCGUGUCCUGGUGGGACAUUCUGGUUAGCAGAGCACAGUUUGCUUUUUUAUUUUUCCCCCUCUACCUGAGCUUUUUGGCAGCCAUGGUUGUUACAGACACAACCCCAGCACAGCUUUCCAUUUACCUCCCUCCCCAAAGAGAUCACAGUCUGCUUCUGUUUGUAAUAAUAUAAUUAUUAUAAUAAUAAUGUAAAUUAUUCUGCAGGAACCACAGGCAGGCUGAGCAGGGGAGGAGGAAUUGGAUUUACUCUGUGAUGCCAAUGGGGGGUCCCAACAGGUAAAAACUCCCUCCCAUGAGUGGUGCUGUCCCACUGCCCUGCAUCUCCCCCUGCUCUGACUGCUGAGCUGGACUGGCUGCUGCUGGUGCCACUGCCACUGCCAGCUGUGUCCCAGCAGCUGCCACUGCUCCAGGCAGGGACACACUGGUGCUGCAGAGGGACAGGCCAGGCACCCCCUGCCACCCUGGUGGGAGUGCUUCUCCUGGGGCUGUGCAGGGAUGAGAAAUCAGAAUCUCAUUUAUAGCCUAUUUAUGCACUGAGCAAUGCAAAUGCUGUCCCAGCAAUAAAUGAAUUCCUGACAUGCAGUGUAAAAGGAGCAGCAGUGCAGAAGCUGCUGAAAUGGAGAGGCUGCUCCAGCAGGGAAAUCUGCUCCUCUCCAGAGCCCUCCAAGGUACUGAGACCUGCACAGGCAAGAGCUGCUCCAGAGCUUAAGGUUCUCUUUAAUUGUGGUGGCUCAAAUCCCCUAAAAACUCACAGUUCCUGCUGGAAACAAGUGAUGAGCUGCUCCGACUGUUAAUCCCUGUGGAGAAGUGUGAAGCUCUUUUUCAGGACAAAGUGACAGGAAAAAGGCACAACCAGGCUGGGUGCAGAGCCUGUGCUAGAAGAGGAGGGACAGAUUUUCCACAGAGGGACAGAUUCCUUCCCAUCUCCAUGAGGACCCCAUGUGCUUUUUCAUGGGCUCAGGGCUGCUGAUCUGCAAACUUGGCCCCAAUGGGCAAACCCCAGAUGACACCAGGGACCCAGGGCUGAACUGAUGCAGUGAGAAACCAGCAGUGAAGACUUAAUAAAAGGGGCCGUGAUGGGAUUUAAGCAAUCACACGCGGACCUGGUGUCCUGGGAGAGAUAACAGCACAGCUCCAUGGCAGGCUGAGAAAUCCAGGGGCUGGCAGACACCCUUUGUGCCCGGCACAGCCCCGAGCUCCGGGAUGCAGCCCCGGCUUGGGGAUGCGGCCGCACCGUGACCCGGAGCAAGUCCAAGCCCGUGUGUUGCGAGCAGGGGCAGGGAUUUCACACCCACAGCCUCGGGAUCUUACGGGUUUUUUCGGUCUCCAGGAGCUCAGCUCUUCCCCCGAGCGGUCCCACGUCCAUCAGCCGCAUAAAGAACCAGAUCCUUUUCAAAAUGUAGCAAAAAAUGCCUUUAUCCUGCGCUAAU
Molecule: long non-coding RNA, 2249 nt
Organism: Passer domesticus (house sparrow)
Lineage: Eukaryota; Metazoa; Chordata; Aves; Passeriformes; Passeridae
Exons: 5
Source: RefSeq, a predicted model, not a curated record